UACGUAGGGGGCAAGCGUUGUCCGGAAUCAUUGGGCGUAAAGCGCGCGUAGGCGGCCCGGUAAGUCCGCUGUAAAAGUCCAGGGCUCAACCCUGGAAAGCCGGUGGAUACUGUGGGGCUAGAGUACGGAAGAGGCGAGUGGAAUUCCUGGUGUAGCGGUGGAAUGCGCAGAUAUCAGGAGGAACACCAAUAGCGAAGGCAGCUCGCUGGGACGUUACUGACACUGAGGCGCGAAAGCGUGGGGAGCGAACAGG
Molecule: ribosomal RNA, 253 nt
Filed under: uncultured bacterium
Lineage: Bacteria
Description: partial 16S ribosomal RNA
Rfam family: Bacterial small subunit ribosomal RNA
Source: RNAcentral